UUGCGGUUAAAAAGCUCGUAGUUGGAUUUCUGCCGAGGACGACCGGUCCGCCCUCUGGGCGUGCAUCUGGCUUGGCCUGGGCAUCUUCUUGGAGAACGUAGCUGCACUUGACUGUGUGGUGCGGUAUCCAAGACUUUUACUUUGAGGAAAUUAGAGUGUUUCAAGCAGGCGCACGCCUUGAAUACAUUAGCAUGGAAUAAUAAGAUAGGACCUCGGUUCUAUUUUGUUGGUUUCUAGAGCUGAGGUAAUGAUUAAUAGGGAUAGU
This 265-nucleotide ribosomal RNA is filed under the name uncultured marine eukaryote. Its description in RNAcentral is "partial 18S ribosomal RNA". It matches the Rfam family "Eukaryotic small subunit ribosomal RNA", at positions 613 to 882 of the family's 1831-position model. The record is from RNAcentral.